GAUGAAGAACGCAGCGAAAUGCGAUAAGUAGUGUGAAUUGCAGAAUUCAGUGAGUCAUCGAAUCUUUGAACGCACAUUGCGCCCCUUGGUAUUCCAUGGGGCAUGCCUGUUCGAGCGUCAUUUGUACCUUCAAGCUCUGCUUGGUGUUGGGUGUUUGUCUCGCCUCUGCGUGUAGACUCGCCUCAAAACAAUUGGCAGCCGGCGUAUUGAUUUCGGAGCGCAGUACAUCUCGCGCUUUGCACUCAUAACGACGACGUCCAAAAGUACAUUUUUACACUCUUGACCUCGGAUCAGGUAGGGAUACCCGCUGAACUUAAGCAUAUCAAUAAGCGGAGGA
RNAcentral lists this unclassified non-coding RNA (337 nucleotides) under soil metagenome. RNAcentral's name for it is "partial contains 5.8S ribosomal RNA, internal transcribed spacer 2, and large subunit ribosomal RNA". The stretch from base 1 to 120 matches the Rfam family "5.8S ribosomal RNA", at positions 35 to 154 of the family's 154-position model. The record is from RNAcentral.